AUGGGACUCGUACUUCUCCUCCUCUACCCAAUCAUGUUCUGCAUGAGGAUGAUGGCCAUGGCGGCCUUCUGCGGGUUGCGCGCGGGCCCGUUCCUCGCUGGCCGCGCCGUGCUGCCCAAGUGGCUCAUGGAGGACGUGGCCGCCGAAGGCUUUAAGACGAUGAGGGUGAGUGGUGCCGCCGGCGGGCGGAGGGUGUGCGUGGCGAGAAAGUUGCCGAGGCUGAUGGUAGAGGGGUUCCUGAGGGAGUACCUCGGCGCGGAGGCGGUCGUCGGGAAGGAGAUGAAGGUGCUCUGGGGGUUCUACACUGGUCUAAUGGAGGAGCAAGACAAGUUGAUAUUGGAGGAGGAGAAGAUCAUGCUGGAGGGUAAUGAUGCCGUGGGAUUCUCUCGCUCGCUCGAGUUUCUCCAGCAUCCCCUCGCGCGCUGUUGCAAGAAUGUCUACCUCCUGACACGAGACGACAGAGCCACAUGGCAGGCGCUCCCGAGGAGCAUGUACCCCAAGGCCAUGGUGUUCCAGGACGGCCGCCUCGCAUUCCGGCCGACGGCCGGCAGCACGCUCGCCAUGUUCAUGUGGUUGCCAUUUGGUGUUGCCCUUGGAGCCGCCCGCCUCACCGUCGCACUCACCGUGCCAUAUCGAUAUUCCACGCCGAUCCUGGCAGCCACUGGCAUGUCAUGGCGCCUAAAGGCCGGCGAGCGACAGACUCUGCUGGGCGCCGACGGCGAGCGAGGACGUCUGCGCGGGCAGCUGUAUGUGUGCAACCACCGCAAGCUCAUCGACCCGGUGUACAUAUCGGUGGCGCUGGACCGACCGGUGCGUGCCGUGUCGUAUAGCCUCAGCCGCUUCUCGGAUCUCCUCUCGCCGAUCGGUCGCACCGUGCGGCUGGCACGAGACCGCGACGUUGACGCAGGCAUCAUGGGCCGCCUCCUGGACAGCGGCGACCUCCUCGUCGUCUCCCCCGAGGGCGCUCGGAUACGGCUGCACCAUGUUCAACAGGAAGGACAAAUACCUCAUGCUUGCUGGAUGGGUCAUAGACGACACCUCCUCACCUCAUAG
Molecule: ribosomal RNA, 1053 nt
Filed under: Triticum aestivum (bread wheat)
Lineage: Eukaryota; Viridiplantae; Streptophyta; Magnoliopsida; Poales; Poaceae
Description: partial small subunit ribosomal RNA
Source: RNAcentral